RNAcentral lists this ribosomal RNA (1601 nucleotides) under Klebsiella pneumoniae. RNAcentral describes it as "bacterial LSU rRNA". It matches the Rfam family "Bacterial large subunit ribosomal RNA", at positions 1345 to 2925 of the family's 2925-position model. The record is from RNAcentral. Lineage: Bacteria; Pseudomonadati; Pseudomonadota; Gammaproteobacteria; Enterobacterales; Enterobacteriaceae.
CCAAGGGUUCCUGUCCAACGUUAAUCGGGGCAGGGUGAGUCGACCCCUAAGGCGAGGCCGAAAGGCGUAGUCGAUGGGAAACAGGUUAAUAUUCCUGUACUUGGUGUUACUGCGAAGGGGGGACGGAGAAGGCUAUGUUAGCCGGGCGACGGUUGUCCCGGUUUAAGCAUGUAGGCUGAUUGUCCAGGCAAAUCCGGAUAAUCAAGGCUGAGGUGUGAUGACGAGGCACUACGGUGCUGAAGUAACAAAUGCCCUGCUUCCAGGAAAAGCCUCUAAGCAUCAGGUAACAUUAAAUCGUACCCCAAACCGACACAGGUGGUCAGGUAGAGAAUACCAAGGCGCUUGAGAGAACUCGGGUGAAGGAACUAGGCAAAAUGGUGCCGUAACUUCGGGAGAAGGCACGCUGGUGUGUAGGUGAAGUCCCUGCGGAUGGAGCUGAGACCAGUCGAAGAUACCAGCUGGCUGCAACUGUUUAUUAAAAACACAGCACUGUGCAAACACGAAAGUGGACGUAUACGGUGUGACGCCUGCCCGGUGCCGGAAGGUUAAUUGAUGGGGUUAUCCGUAAGGAGAAGCUCUUGAUCGAAGCCCCGGUAAACGGCGGCCGUAACUAUAACGGUCCUAAGGUAGCGAAAUUCCUUGUCGGGUAAGUUCCGACCUGCACGAAUGGCGUAAUGAUGGCCAGGCUGUCUCCACCCGAGACUCAGUGAAAUUGAACUCGCUGUGAAGAUGCAGUGUACCCGCGGCAAGACGGAAAGACCCCGUGAACCUUUACUAUAGCUUGACACUGAACAUUGAGCCUUGAUGUGUAGGAUAGGUGGGAGGCUUUGAAGCGUGGACGCCAGUCUGCGUGGAGCCAACCUUGAAAUACCACCCUUUAAUGUUUGAUGUUCUAACGUUGGCCCCUGACCGGGGUUGCGGACAGUGUCUGGUGGGUAGUUUGACUGGGGCGGUCUCCUCCCAAAGCGUAACGGAGGAGCACGAAGGUUAGCUAAUCCUGGUCGGACAUCAGGAGGUUAGUGCAAUGGCAUAAGCUAGCUUGACUGCGAGCGUGACGGCGCGAGCAGGUGCGAAAGCAGGUCAUAGUGAUCCGGUGGUUCUGAAUGGAAGGGCCAUCGCUCAACGGAUAAAAGGUACUCCGGGGAUAACAGGCUGAUACCGCCCAAGAGUUCAUAUCGACGGCGGUGUUUGGCACCUCGAUGUCGGCUCAUCACAUCCUGGGGCUGAAGUAGGUCCCAAGGGUAUGGCUGUUCGCCAUUUAAAGUGGUACGCGAGCUGGGUUUAGAACGUCGUGAGACAGUUCGGUCCCUAUCUGCCGUGGGCGCUGGAGAAUUGAGGGGGGCUGCUCCUAGUACGAGAGGACCGGAGUGGACGCAUCACUGGUGUUCGGGUUGUCAUGCCAAUGGCACUGCCCGGUAGCUAAAUGCGGAAGAGAUAAGUGCUGAAAGCAUCUAAGCACGAAACUUGCCCCGAGAUGAGUUCUCCCUGAGACUUUAAGUCUCCUGAAGGAACGUUAAAGACGAUGACGUUGAUAGGCCGGGUGUGUAAGCGCAGCGAUGCGUUGAGCUAACCGGUACUAAUGAACCGUGAGGCUUAACCUU